AAGGGUAUAGCUCAGUGGUAGAGUGCAUGAAGUCCUGGGUUCAAUCCCCAGUACCUCCA
RNAcentral lists this transfer RNA (59 nucleotides) under Camelus dromedarius (Arabian camel). It matches the Rfam family "tRNA". Rfam says of the family: Transfer RNA (tRNA) molecules are approximately 80 nucleotides in length. The record is from Rfam by way of RNAcentral. Lineage: Eukaryota; Metazoa; Chordata; Mammalia; Artiodactyla; Camelidae. RNAcentral also lists the same sequence under 1 other name.